UAGGGAAUCUUCCGCAAUGGACGAAAGUCUGACGGAGCAACGCCGCGUGAGUGAAGAAGGAUUUCGGUUCGUAAAACUCUGUUGUUAGGGAAGAAAAAAUGUAUAGUAACUAUAUACAAAAGAGACGGUACCUAACCAGAAAGCCACGGCUAACUACGUGCCAGCAGCCGCGGUAAUACGUAGUUGGCAAGCGUUGUCCGGAAUUAUUGGGCGUAAAGCGCGCGCAGGUGGUUUAGAAAGUCUGAUGUGAAAGCCCACGGCUCAACCGUGGAGGGUCAUUGGAAACUAAUAAACUUGAGUGCAGGAGAGAAAAGUGGAAUUCCUAGUGUAGCGGUGAAAUGCGUAGAGAUUAGGAGGAACACCGGUGGCGAAAGCGGCUUUUUGGCCUGCAACUGACACUGAGGCGCGAAAGCGUGGGGAGCAAACAGG
RNAcentral lists this ribosomal RNA (429 nucleotides) under Verrucomicrobiota bacterium. RNAcentral describes it as "Verrucomicrobia bacterium partial 16S ribosomal RNA". It matches the Rfam family "Bacterial small subunit ribosomal RNA", at positions 355 to 776 of the family's 1533-position model. Lineage: Bacteria; Pseudomonadati; Verrucomicrobiota. The record is from RNAcentral.